Long non-coding RNA from Brassica napus (rape), 759 nucleotides. RefSeq lists it as uncharacterized. The record is from RefSeq and is a predicted model, not a curated record. The transcript has 2 exons. Lineage: Eukaryota; Viridiplantae; Streptophyta; Magnoliopsida; Brassicales; Brassicaceae.
CCUCUGAGCCUUGAGUGUUUUGAUAGUUAAUCCUAAUAGUUAAGUCUAAUGAGUAGAAAGAAGCUCAUUAGUUAGUUAUAUAAGCCCAAUUAGAAACACAAGAGUAAGAAGGUUGAACGGAGUUCGUGGAGACGCGAUUAAGAGGAGGAGAACCAGAAUCUGAUCAUCUGAGAUGAUUGACCCGGAUUUAUAUCACGCUUGGAGUGUAUCCAGUUGCGGGUGGUUCUGUCAAUAGUGGUGAUGAUGGAGGUGUAAGGUUUGAAGCAUUGACGAUGGAUGUAGAGAGUUAGUUAGUUGCCAGACCACAAUAGAGAGUUUUGAUCGCCGCCUGAUUGCAGAGGACGCAAGUGGGGUCCACCAUUAAGCCACAUGAUAUCAGUCUGUCCUUUGAGGGGAUCCGGUUGAGCACAAUGAGCCAUGUUAAGAAGCUGUUCCUUGGGAUACCAGACCACAGAUGCCCAAGGAUUUGUUCCAAGAGAUCAAGUCGCGACAGCCUAGUCCACCUUCAGCUUUUGCAAGUGUAACUUUUUCCCCAGCAACUCUUGCUGAAUGGGAGCCAUCUGACGAGCCAUGCCAUAGGAAUGAGCUACAGAGGGAAUUGAUCCCUUUGAUGCAUUGCUUUGGGUAGCGUGUGUUGUUACAUGUAUAUAUGAAUACAAAAAAUAUCUGUCUUCGAAUGUGUUGUGUUACUAGUUCUCUACUCUCUACGUAUAUACUUGGAGUUUGUGAUUCUUUUAGCUCUUUUAAAAGUUCUGCAUA